AGUCAAUAUAGGAGGGGCUGCCCUGCGCAGAUGGUGGGAAGGGUGACUCACCAGGACCAUUUCUGUCACAGUGCAUCUCACAGUCCGGCACAGAACUCUCCAGAAUGUGGACAGCUUGCCCAGGGAAGCGCAGCAUUGCACAGCAAUUUGUUCCCCUGUGUCCUGCGUUGGCUCGUUUCUGCCAACGUCGCCUGUGGAGUGUCUGGACAAGCCCUAGACGGGGAUAAACCACUGAAAAGAGGUGAUAUUCCACAUCAAACAAACCUCAGCUUGUAACUUGUUCUGCCAUCCUGGGAUGAAAAAGGAUUGGGUGUCCUCUCUGUCACAUUCCUCUUGAAUCUGUGUCAACCACCCGGGCAACUGAAGUAUGCUUGGCGUCCACAGGAACCAAUCGAGCUGCAACAGUGGCCUCCCGGCCGCGAGUCAACAAGCGUGUGAGCGUCUGGUGUAGCAUGUGCCUUCCAGGCUGGUCCUGGGCACGAUGGCGAGUUUCCCACCAAAAACUUGGAAAUUAGGAAAACUGCUACUGUAAGAGAUGAGACACAGUCUAUGGCCAUAGCAACCACCCGAUCUCGUCCAAUCUCGGAAGCUAAGCAGGGUUGGGCCUGGUUAGUACUUGGAUGGGAGAGAUGAGACACAGAUACGUCAUUUGAAAGACAAGGAACCACCAGGCUGGCAGUAAGUUCACUGAGUAAAUGGUUAGCCCUGGGCUGUCCAAUAUGGUGGCCACAUGUGGCGGUUUAAGUCAACAUUAGUUAAAAGACAAAAUAAAAUAAAAAAAUCAGUUCCCUUUCACUUGUCCCGUUUCAAGUGCUCAAGAGACCAUGUGGCCUGUGGCCGUUAGUUUAGACAGGGCAGACCAAGGGCAGUUCCAUCAUCAGAGAAGGCUCUGAUGUUCAGCGCUGGUCUGGAAAGGCCUCCGUGAAUCGGUCCCAGAGCUGGUCAGCUGACGGACCUGCAGGCAGUGGAGUCUCAAGUUAAACGCUGGCUGCAACGUUGCGUAUCUCUGGGUCCUGGGAGAAGUCAGAUGGCCCUUGAGGGGUUAAUGGAAGAGACUUCAGUAAACAGAUUAACAGUAAACAGACAAAGAUAGGGCUACACUGACCUAAGAGUGAACCAACAGAGCAGGUGAAGCAUCCAGAGCUUUCAUACAGCAGGGAGCCUCUGGGGGGAGGCCUGAGAGGAGAGGACGUCAUUGGGCCCCAUAGCCACUGCCAGAUUGAUGAUGGCCUUGCUGUGGGCAGUUUGGGGAAACACCGGGCUCUUUCUGCCCUUUUUCUGUCUUGCCAGUGCCUCCAGCUGGAAUCCGACUGGAAGCCUGCAGGCAUGAGAGCCCGGGGGGUCCAAGCAGGCUCGGGGGCAGAGAGGGGCAGAGAAGCAAGAGAAGGGAAAUGGGGGGCCAGGAGCAGGGCCAGCCCUCCCUCCAGCGCUGCCUGGGGCUGAGGGGAUUGGACCUGGCCCUGCAUGCUCCAGGCUUCAGGUGGGGUCCUAACCCCGAGAAGGAUGCUGGAGGGCUGUACCAUGCCACCAAUGGUGUGGUUUCCCGUGGGUCUGGCUACGGAGGAAAGACCGUCCACAGCCUGUGGUUCUCAUGCCUGUUUAUGGGGCAGCUUUUUUUCUUGAAUCUUUUUAAAAAUUCAUUAAUUUUUAACUGAAGGAUACUUGCUUGACAGUGUUGUGCUAGUUUCUACCAGAUAUCAACGUGAAUCAGCCAUAGGUUUGCUCAUGUCCUCUCCCACCGUGGGGCAACUUUCUCUCGCAGUGAAUGAACGUAUCUGCAGUUUGAAACACCUGGCUGAGUGUCUACGCAACAGCGGGGCCCCGUCCUCAGGCCAGGGAAAAUUUACCAAGUGACGGGCACUGCCCUGUGAAAGCUGUUGGGAAACUCCCCUGAGAAGGACCCAAAACAUCCCGUGGGCUUAAGGACAAACAUUUAAAUUCCUAAAAUAGCAUCUGCCCCACGGAACUGCUACGAGGGUUCCAACACGUGACUUACGCGAAGCACCUGGCAGCCCAAGGAACACAGAAGGGCCCUUGCGCACGUUCUCCUGAUAACACCCGGUGACCCUAUGACACCCGCCACGUUCUGGGCUUGUUCAAGGCUCCAGGGAUGGGGCAGGAGCUAAACGGACAACAUGUCUUGCCCUCCUCACGGGGCUUUCGCAAAGGAGAAGGAUGGUAGCAAUGUAGAUAAAUACACCAUAUGCUCUGAUAGACAGCAGCAGGUGCUGAGGGCAAAAAUAAUACAAGGAACAGAGAUCCGAGGGUGGGGGGCUUUUAUAGAGAGAUGGGGUGGCCAGGGAAGGCCUUCCUUGGACUGUGGCAUUGGGGGAAAGCCAAAGGAACGUGAAGGAACAGUCACAGAGAUGUCUAUGACAGUGGGGGAGCUUGUACGGGGCCCUGGCAGGGGGUUCCUGACACGCUGGGGAGUGGGGGAGGGUGUCAGAAUGAUGGGGGCAGGUGAGGGGCUGGGCGGAUCGUGGGGGGAGGUGGGUGGAAGAUCGCCUGGCCUUGCUGUGGAUUGGCGCUCGUGGCUUUGCCACGUGUCAGCUCUGAUUCACCCACCUGCACACACAGGACUGGCCUCCCUGUCUUUACUUUGUGCUCCCUCUGAUCUAAGAGACUUGCUCAGAGCACUCUGGGAGCUGGGCUCCUGUCGUGUGUGUGUGUGUGUGUAAUAUUUGUAGGUGUGUGCACAUGUGUGUAUUAACCUGCUUUGUCAGCAUAGUGCAUCACAUCAAGUUGAUACCCUAUGGAUGCUGACUGAUGGACACAGAAAUUCCCAUGUGGUCUUCAAUUCUUUUUUUAUUUUUUAAGAAAACUCAGUGAUGUCCCUGUCCCAGUGUCAUAUGAACUCUUGGAAAAGAUAGCACAGCUUUUUAAUUUGACAGCAUGAGCCACUUAUCUGCACAGUAAUAAAAAUCCAGGCCAUAUCCUUCAGAAAUGAUAUCUUAGUUCAUCAUUCAAGCAAUAAAAAAAGACCAGAAUAAUUUUAGCGUCCGUUUAAGCUUUCGUGUAAUCUUUGACCCGGGGCCGAAGCCAUAUUCAGCAGCCUGACAGUAGAAGCUGAGCGUGCCAGCCACUCGAGAUUGAUGGGCUCGGAGCCGGCAGGGCGGUGGGCAGAAGGCCCUGACUCCGCUGCUCGCCUGUCUCCUGUAUCUUUCAAAGAAAUGACAACCUGAGUGUUGCGCUGUCCUAAGGACGUGAUUGAAAUUUCUCCCAUAAACCAAAAGGAACAAGAAGUGUUUGCCCUUGGAUCAAAACGGGGCUUCCUAGUUUGCCCAAACAGAAAGCAGGACCAUGAAGCCAAACCAAAGCUCAAUCUGGUUUCCAGUGAUGCUCUUAUGUCUCUGGGGGUUCUGUGGUCCAUGGGCUCCCUGUCUUCCCAGGAUGUCUUUUUUUCUGUGGAUGACUCUCCCUGUGCCCUCUCUUCUCAGCUUCUGCUCCUCCUUUGUCUAGUAGAACUCUGGUCUCCGUUCAUUCAUUUCUUUGCUUACAUUUAUCCCCUCAUCUGCAGUCUCCCAGACCGACGUGAGGGCAGCACCUUGUUGAAGAGUCUACACACAUCUUUGAUAGGGCUGGACAUACAGUAAAUUCUUGUUGUUGUUUAAAUCUAGAUGUCUUACUUAUAUAGGUAAUCAUCUUGUUCAGUGGGAAUUUGAGAUGACUUAUAGAAAUAUAUAAAGGGUUCCCUGGUUGCUCAGUGGUUAUAGAAUCUGCCUGCCAAUGCAGGAGAUGCAGGCUCGAUCCCUGGAUUAGGGAGAUCCCCUGGAGAAGGAAAUAGCAACCCACUCCAGUUUUCUUGCCUGGGAAAUUCCAGUCCCUGGGGUUGCAGAGAGUCAGACAUGACUCAGUAACUAAGCAGCAACAGAGAAACGCACAGAGUUCAGCAGGAUGCUUUUGAUGGGGACAUUGUGGAGGCAGAUUGGAAACACAGGUCUUUAUCCCAAGUAGGACUCUUCCACGAGCGUCCUCUCACGAUCCAGCAAAGCCUCCGAUCCCCUGAGGCCAGUGUCCACCUGAGCACUGCCCUCCCUGAGUCCACCCUUGGUGGGAAGGCGGCUCACCCCGCACCCCCUAAUGCUUGGCCAAAGCCCCGUGGACGUGCAGCCCCGGCCGCUCUCUGCAGUGGCUGCUUUGAGAUAGAAUGUUCACUAUCAUUUAAUCGGUUCGGUUUCCAAGAUGUUCCAAAAAUGUUCAAGAAUUUUUUUUCUUCUUCAGUACUGUGUCUGCAAUUAAGGGGAAAAAAAAAAAUCUAACAAGUGAACAGUGAUAGCUGGCAGGCCAAAUCUUCUUGCCUUUCCUUUUCAUGUAGUUACUUCAGUCACAAAGAUCAAAGUACACUUUUCUAAUUCAACUUUGCCCUGGUUUUAAUUUCUCUCGUUAUAGCAGGAAAAGUGGAGCACAUUCAGAAAGGAGAUAGCCACCUACUACUCCAACUUGUAAAGUAUAAUUUUUUGAACUUUUAGCUUCUGAGAUUUUUACCAGUUGUAACAAUAGAGACUUGAAUUGUAUUUUGUUCAUUGAAGUUAUUAUGCAGUAAUUCUAAUAUCUGCAUGAUAUUCUUUCCAUAAUGUACCAUGAUCACUCUAUUAGUUAGCACUCAAUUUGCUUCCAAUUUUUCAUCGUUAUAGAUACUGCAGUGAGCAACUGUGAGCAUCCGGUUUUUCUUAUAGUUCGGAUUAUUUCCUUAAGAUAGAUUCCCAGAAAUAAGAGUACGGGCCAAAGGGCUUUAAUAUUUUUAUGAUUCCUUAUAGAUAGUGCCAAGUAACUUUCCACAGGCUUGGACAGCUUUUCAAAGCCACCAUUAAUACAGGAGGUAGUCAACCACAUAGCUACCUGCCAACUCUGGAAUUGCAUUAAAUCUGUAAAUUAACAAUGGGGUAAAAUAUUACUAAAUUCAGACUGGUGAUGAAGUAGUCUGUGUAUUGCUAUAUUGGUUGCUGUGCAGUUUUUGUUUCUUUGUGUGUAUAUAUAUAUGCAUAAGUGGUAUAUAUCUAUCUACAUACAACUGGAUGUAGUAAACGAGACUCUGAUUUGGAGCACGAGCGUCCAGAGUGUCCCCCCAGGAGCCUGGCUACCCAUCCUGGAAUGGGGGGCGCAGGUACAGGUCUGUCCCCUGAGCCUCCCACCUCGGGAAUCCUGUACCUCUUGGCUGUGCACACAGCAACCAAGCCAGCCCAGCAGGCGACACCCUGGAACUCAGCGCGGAGUGGGGAGGUCGAUCGGGUUGGAGCCCAGUUACCUGGCAGGUCUCCCAGGUAACUCUCACUGAAGGGCUUCCCCGAAUCACUCCCCAGAGGUCCCCUGAGAUCUGGCAUCGGUGGCUCCGGUACCCCUGUUUUGGAGCGUGGAGGACCCUGGAGCAUGGUGGCAUUGCCGAGAGACCCCAGAGGUCCCCACCUUUGGCCUGGGCUGUCCCCGUAAGUCUGAGCUGUGGAGACCAACUCCAGGAGGCUCGGGUGCUGAGUCACAGCCUGCCCUUGGGCACUGUCCACCACAGGCCUGUGUGGACAGGUUCGGCCCUGCCCAGCGGGCGUCUUCCAGCUCCAGCAACCCUGCACUGGGCUUCUGAUACAGAGCCUGGAGAGGUCCUCCCAGUGACCUCUGCUGGGCCCUGCCAGUGGCCAUUCUGGGCUCUGGCCUCCCCAGGAACUACCGUGCCAUCCGUAGUCCUGCGGGCAUUGCAGGUUCCCCAAUAUUAUGAGAUACACCUUUGGGCAAAUGGGCAUCUUUAUUUGGAGCAGGCUGGACCCUGGCAGUGCAGUGUCCAGGAGCCCCUGCCUGCCAGCUGGCCUCUCCCGGCCAGGCCAGGCCCAGACUCGGGCAGUUCCCAGGGGGACAGUGCACUCUUGUUCAUCCCUGGGAACCCCUGCCCCAGGGCCCACGGUCUCCUUCCCCAGCUUACAUAUAACCAGAUGCUCGCAUCAGAGAGUCCCUGGGGCCACGUGCCCCUCCAAUCUCCUUGCCUUCUAUGUGUUCCCUGACUCUCCUCCUGCUGUCUCCGCCAAGUACGCCCUCCCCGGCAACAAAUAAAACCCGGAAACCCAGCGGCAGAGGUGAGAUUGCUAGGGGAUGAUUGGCUGGCGCACACGAGUCUCCUUUAGGUCACACCCGCCUGGAAUCAGAUGGGAGGGGGUGUCAGAUUCGCAGCGUCGGCUGGCUGUUGCAAGCUUAUGGCGUGUCCUCAGGGAGGCGUCCCAUAGACCUGACGAGGAUCUGGGUCUCCCUGAUGUGUGUACAUGGCCCACGGGUGCUUGUGGACGGAUUAAGGUGAAUGUGCUUCCUCGAGCCAUGCACUAAACCGUGCUCUGUUGGCUGCUCUGGACCUAACACUGCACUGGGGAGAGGAAGUCGUUACCUAGACCUGAAGGGGGCGCUCUCCGACCACAGGCUUCUUCCCUCGCUUCCUGCAGGGCCCCCAGGUGAUGCAGGAAGCUUUGGGCAGGGAGUGAUGCAAAAUGUUUCUGCCCCCAAGAGUGCUGGUUAUUAAGCUUGGGGGCACCCUGAGAUUAGAGGAGCCACUGGGAGAACAACACAAGCAACAUGAAGCCAGAAAAAUAAGAGAAAUCAUCUUACAAUGAUGAAGAUAACAGCCAAAAUGCUGGUUCUCGUUUAGUUUUUACCAUAUAAUGUGCUGUGUUGAAAAUAUAUCACCUAACUUCAUCCUGCCAACCGCUCUGUCAAAUCAUUACUCUCAUUUUACAGAUGAGCACCCCGGCCUCAGACGGGUAAGUGAUCUGCCUGGGGUCAGC
Long non-coding RNA from Bubalus bubalis (water buffalo), 6755 nucleotides. RefSeq lists it as uncharacterized. The transcript is spliced from 4 exons. The record is from RefSeq and is a predicted model, not a curated record. Lineage: Eukaryota; Metazoa; Chordata; Mammalia; Artiodactyla; Bovidae.